UAUUUUCUUUGCACUGACUUUAGGGAGCCAGCCGCUUCCCGUGUUAGCACUCGGGUGCCAGGUGGCCAAAAACACGGGGCAAAGGUUUUCCUAGUUAAGUCGUGGUAUCCACAGCUGUAGCUCUGAGGAAGGAACAGGGCCAUUUGCGGCACUUCGUGCUGUGUGAAGGUCAUCUCAGCUAUGAGCAAAGGGAGAAGUGUGGGCAUGGAGCUAGGAAGAUGGAGCAGACCCAUCAAGGUGAAAUGAGCAAGUCUGUGUUGUUGGAGAGUGAAAAAGCUGGCCAAAUCAUCUGCACAAUGUCCCUUGCCCAGCAGUUCUGUGUGAAAACCAAAAUCAUGCUUGGAAUUUCCAGAUUUCUCCAGUGCUUGCGGUUCCAACAUUUCCUCGUGGUGGCACAGACCGGCAACCUAGCCAGUCUUGGUGAACUGUCAAGAUCCAAAGUACAGCAGGAGACCUUCCUCGAGGAAAGAGUCUAUUUGUGAUGCUGGGAACACAUGUGGAAGUGACCUGUGCAGUCUCCCGAAUGACAAGCAGAGCUCUACUCUUAGUCUUCGGACUGUGAAAUCACCACAAAGAUGCCCAUGGAGGUGGAGAUGUACUCAGUGUCCAGGUGUAACUCAUUCGGGCUCUGUGAGGGCUGCCACAUGAGGAAGAAAACUCCUCUUUGGCAUCUG
Molecule: long non-coding RNA, 674 nt
Organism: Heterocephalus glaber (naked mole-rat)
Lineage: Eukaryota; Metazoa; Chordata; Mammalia; Rodentia; Bathyergidae
Source: Ensembl